Molecule: ribosomal RNA, 557 nt
Filed under: uncultured Rhizobium sp.
Lineage: Bacteria; Pseudomonadati; Pseudomonadota; Alphaproteobacteria; Hyphomicrobiales; Rhizobiaceae
Description: bacterial SSU rRNA
Rfam family: Bacterial small subunit ribosomal RNA
Source: RNAcentral
ACGGGUGAGUAACGCGUGGGAAUCUACCUUUUGCUACGGAAUAACGCAUGGAAACGUGUGCUAAUACCGUAUGUGCCCUUCGGGGGAAAGAUUUAUCGGCAAAGGAUGAGCCCGCGUUGGAUUAGCUAGUUGGUGGGGUAAAGGCCUACCAAGGCGACGAUCCAUAGCUGGUCUGAGAGGAUGAUCAGCCACAUUGGGACUGAGACACGGCCCAAACUCCUACGGGAGGCAGCAGUGGGGAAUAUUGGACAAUGGGCGCAAGCCUGAUCCAGCCAUGCCGCGUGAGUGAUGAAGGCCUUAGGGUUGUAAAGCUCUUUCACCGGUGAAGAUAAUGACGGUAACCGGAGAAGAAGCCCCGGCUAACUUCGUGCCAGCAGCCGCGGUAAUACGAAGGGGGCUAGCGUUGUUCGGAUUUACUGGGCGUAAAGCGCGCGUAGGCGGAUCGAUCAGUCAGGGGUGAAAUCCCAGGGCUCAACCCUGGAACUGCCUUUGAUACUGUCGAUCUGGAGUAUGGAAGAGGUGAGUGGAAUUCCGAGUGUAGAGGUGAAAUUCGUAGA